GGCCCGUUAGCUCAACUGGUAGAGCAGCGGACUCUUAAUCCGCGGGUUCCAGGUUCGAGUCCUGGACGGGUCA
Molecule: transfer RNA, 73 nt
Filed under: candidate division Zixibacteria bacterium SM1_73
Lineage: Bacteria; Pseudomonadati; Candidatus Zixiibacteriota
Also listed under: 3 other names
Description: tRNA-Lys
Rfam family: tRNA
About the family: Transfer RNA (tRNA) molecules are approximately 80 nucleotides in length. Their secondary structure includes four short double-helical elements and three loops (D, anti-codon, and T loops). Further hydrogen bonds mediate the characteristic L-shaped molecular structure. tRNAs have two regions of fundamental functional importance: the anti-codon, which is responsible for specific mRNA codon recognition, and the 3' end, to which the tRNAs corresponding amino acid is attached (by aminoacyl-tRNA synthetases). tRNAs cope with the degeneracy of the genetic code in two manners: having more than one tRNA (with a specific anti-codon) for a particular amino acid; and 'wobble' base-pairing, i.e. permitting non-standard base-pairing at the 3rd anti-codon position.
Source: RNAcentral